RNAcentral lists this ribosomal RNA (253 nucleotides) under uncultured bacterium. RNAcentral's name for it is "partial 16S ribosomal RNA". It matches the Rfam family "Bacterial small subunit ribosomal RNA", at positions 524 to 776 of the family's 1533-position model. The record is from RNAcentral.
UACGUAGGUGGCAAGCGUUAUCCGGAUUUAUUGGGCGUAAAGGGAACGCAGGCGGUCUUUUAAGUCUGAUGUGAAAGCCUUCGGCUUAACCGGGGUAGUGCAUUGGAAACUGGGAGACUUGAGUGCAGAAGAGGAGAGUGUAACUCCAUGUGUAGCGGUGAAAUGCGUAGAUAUAUGGAAGAACACCAGUGGCGAAAGCGGCUCUCUGGUCUGUAACUGACGCUGAGGUUCGAAAGCGUGGGUAGCAAACAGG